Molecule: ribosomal RNA, 990 nt
Filed under: uncultured bacterium
Lineage: Bacteria
Description: bacterial SSU rRNA
Rfam family: Bacterial small subunit ribosomal RNA
Source: RNAcentral
AUUGAACGUUGGCGGCAGGCCUUAGACAUGCAAGUCGAACGGUAACAGCAGAGCUUGCUCUGGCUGACGAGUGGCGGACGGGUGAGUAACGCGUAGGAAUCUACCCAGUAGCGGGGGAUAGCCCGGGGAAACCCGGAAUAAUACCGCAUACGCCCCACGGGGGAAAGAGGGCCUCUUCUUGAAAGCUCUCACUAUUGGAGGAGCCUGCGUUGGAUUAGCUAGUUGGUGGGGUAAAGGCCUACCAAGGCGACGAUCCAUAGCUGGUCUGAGAGGACGACCAGCCACACUGGAACUGAGACACGGUCCAGACUCCUACGGGAGGCAGCAGUCAGGAAUAUUUUGCAAUGGGGGAAACCCUGACAAAGCCAUGCCGCGUGUGUGAAGAAGGCCUUAGGGUUGUAAAGCACUUUCAGUAGGGAGGAACUAGCAGCGUUAAUACCGCUGUGAGAUGACGUUACCUACAGAAGAAGAUCCGGCUAACUCCGUGCCAGCAGCCGCGGUAAUACGGAGGGAUCGAACGUUAAUCGGAAUUACUGGGCGUAAAGCGCGCGUAGGUGGUUUGUUAAGUGGGAUGUGAAAGCCCCGGGCUCAACCUGGGAACUGCAUUCCAAACUGACAAACUAGAGUACGAUAGAGGGGGGUAGAAUUCAGAGUGUAGCGGUGAAAUGCGUAGAUAUUCUGAGGAAUACCGGUGGCGAAGGCGGCCCCCUGGAUUGAUACUGACACUGAGGUGCGAAAGCGUGGGGAGCAAACAGGAUUAGAUACCCUGGUAGUCCACGCCGUAAACGAUGUCUACUAGCCGUUGGGAGGCUUGACCUCUUAGUGGCGAAGCUAACGCGAUAAGUAGACCGCCUGGGGAGUACGGUCGCAAGAUUAAAACUCAAAUGAAUUGACGGGGGCCCGCACAAGCGGUGGAGCAUGUGGUUUAAUUCGAUGCAACGCGAAAAACCUUACCAGGCCUUGACAUCCAGAGAACUUACCAGAGAUGGU